GGAGAAUUCGCCAGAUACUACACAGUCGCAUACAUAUAAUACGAAUACGUACCACAAGAGCAAUCUGUUGACGUUCAACCGAAACACUACAGCUAAACAAAGAACAACUCGAUUUUAUUCCUCGCUUGUAUUCAAUUUCUGAGACCAUCGUGUAUAUAUUAUAUCAGAUGCGAAUUUAUAUUCGUACAAUCUUUUUGUUAUAAUGCACUAAUCUAUGAUGCGUUGUUACAUGUAAGGUAGUGUAACCAAUAGUGUUGUAUAUACCACUUUCAAAUAGAGCUUGUCAAUGAUUUCUCAUACAUAGGAU
Cinara cedri is the source of this 307-nucleotide non-coding RNA. NCBI's taxonomy places the organism in Eukaryota, Metazoa, Arthropoda, Insecta, Hemiptera, Aphididae. The record is from the annotation of a GenBank genome assembly.